RNAcentral lists this ribosomal RNA (503 nucleotides) under uncultured bacterium. RNAcentral's name for it is "partial 16S ribosomal RNA". It matches the Rfam family "Bacterial small subunit ribosomal RNA", at positions 30 to 523 of the family's 1533-position model. The record is from RNAcentral.
AUUGAACGCUGGCGGCAGGCUUAACACAUGCAAGUCGAGCGGAGUGAUGGUGCUUGCACUAUCACUUAGCGGCGGACGGGUGAGUAAUGCUUAGGAAUCUGCCUAUUAGUGGGGGACAACAUCUCGAAAGGGAUGCUAAUACCGCAUACGCCCUACGGGAGAAAGCAGGGGAUCACUUGUGACCUUGCGCUAAUAGAUGAGCCUAAGUCGGAUUAGCUAGUUGGUGGGGUAAAGGCCAACCAAGGCGACGAUCUGUAGCGGGUCUGAGAGGAUGAUCCGCCACACUGGGCCUGAGACACGGCCCAGACUCCUACGGGAGGCAGCAGUGGGGAAUAUUGGAAAAUGGGGGGAACCCUGAUCCAGCCAUGCCGCGUGUGUGAAGAAGGCCUUAUGGUUGUAAAGCACUUUAAGCGAGGAGGAGGCUCUUUUGGUUAAUACCCAAGAUGAGUGGACGUUACUCGCAGAAUAAGCACCGGCUAACUCUGUGCCAGCCGCCGCCGUAA